CUUCCUGGUCUUACAGCCAUAGCAGCCUGAGCUCAUCUGAUCUCAGAAGUUAAGCAGGGUUAGGCCUGCUUAGUACUUGGAUGUGAUACUGCCUGGGAAUACCAGGUGCUGGGGUUU
Molecule: ribosomal RNA, 117 nt
Filed under: Amphilophus citrinellus (Midas cichlid)
Lineage: Eukaryota; Metazoa; Chordata; Actinopteri; Cichliformes; Cichlidae
Source: RNAcentral